Molecule: ribosomal RNA, 200 nt
Filed under: uncultured prokaryote
Description: partial 16S ribosomal RNA
Rfam family: Bacterial small subunit ribosomal RNA
Source: RNAcentral
AUGUCAAAUCAUCAUGCCCCUUACGCCUUGGGCUUCACACGUGCUACAAUGGUCUUUACAAAGUGAUGCAAAGCUGCGAAGCAGAGCGGACCACAAAAAAAGACCCCAGUUCGGAUUGUAGGCUGCAACUCGCCUGCAUGAAGUUGGAAUCGCUAGUAAUCGCGAAUCAGAAUGUCGCGGUGAAUACGUUCCCGGGCCUU